This 98-nucleotide transfer RNA is filed under the name Chloroflexota bacterium. RNAcentral's name for it is "tRNA-Sec". It matches the Rfam family "Selenocysteine transfer RNA". Lineage: Bacteria; Bacillati; Chloroflexota. The record is from RNAcentral.
GGGGGCGGAUGGGCUCUGGUGGGCUUCGCGGACUUCAAAUCCGUUGGUGGGCGCCCUGCGGUGUCCACGGGGGGUUCGACUCCCUCCCGCUCCCGCCA